Molecule: long non-coding RNA, 724 nt
Organism: Xenia sp. Carnegie-2017
Lineage: Eukaryota; Metazoa; Cnidaria; Anthozoa; Malacalcyonacea; Xeniidae
Exons: 3
Source: RefSeq, a predicted model, not a curated record
UCGUUGUGUAGGAAAUGAAAAUAAUAUUUUCAGUUGUUCACAUAGAGAAUGGGGAUCACAUAAUUGUACACAUAAGGAAGAUGCUAGUGUACAAUGUUCAGUUAUCAACUCUGUUAGACUUCGGGGACCAAAAAGUUCUAUCGGCAGAGGUCGUGUGGAAGUAUUUUACAAUGGAGAAUGGGGAACAAUUUGUGAUGAUGGCUGGAAUAUAUACGAUGCUAAAGUUGUUUGUCGACAACUUGGUUAUGACAAUGCUGUCAGGGCUUUACAAGGAGGUUAUGUUUCUUAUGGCAGUGGAAGAAUAUGGUUAGACGACGUUCGUUGUAUAGGAAAUGAAACUAAUAUUUCGAGUUGUUCACAUAGAGGAUGGGGAUCACAUAAUUGUAGACAUACUGAAGAUGCUGGUGUACAAUGUUCAGGCUAUGAGGAAAGAUCCUAGUGAUGGGGAAUCAUGUCAAAGAAAUACACUAAAAACCUAAUUCUAAUCGAAGAUGCUUAUCGUAAAAAGUGUCGUGGAAAAUUUGAAAGCUUAUGUAGAAAAUGCUGUGUGUUUGACAUUUUUAUCCAUUGUUGAAAUGUAUCUGUAACACAAAACUACGUGUAAACAAAUUGUAAUCAACCAUAUUAUCAUAUAAAGUAAAUGUACAUAUUAUCAUAAUCAAUAAAAAAAAAGUAAAAUGAUAAAGUUUCAUUUCUGCUAAGAAUAAAUAUUAUUGACAAAUCA